Molecule: long non-coding RNA, 4802 nt
Organism: Nerophis ophidion (straightnose pipefish)
Lineage: Eukaryota; Metazoa; Chordata; Actinopteri; Syngnathiformes; Syngnathidae
Exons: 2
Source: RefSeq, a predicted model, not a curated record
AGAACUUUAAUUACGCUUAUUUUCUAUUUGCACCACUCCCGUGUUUUUAUUCCAAUGAAUGUGUUCUUACCAAAGUCAACAGUGGUUUAACAGGCACUUUUGAACAAAGUUGACUAGAAGGUAGGAAAAGUUGGUAAGUAAUAGGGAAAAGAAGGUAAAAUGGGUUAAUAGAAGGUGAAUAAAAGGUAAAAGAAGUUAAAUAAAAGGUAAAUAUAAGGAAAAAAAGAUUAAUUGUAAGGUAAAAAAAGAAGGCAAUGAAGGUAAAUGAAAGGUAAAAGAAAAAAAUGAGGGUAAAAUCAUGCAAAUAGAAGGUAAAUAUAAGGAAAAGAAGAUAAAAAAAGAAGUUUUAAGGUAUGAAAGAAGGUAACAAAGGCAAAUAGAUUAGAUUAGAUUAGAUAGUACUUUAUUUAUUCCGUCAGGAAAAUUAAAAUAGAAGGUAAAAGAACAAAUUGAGGGUAAAAUCAUGCAAAUAGAAGGUAAAUAUAAGGAAAAGAAGAUAAAGAUAGUAAUUGUAAGGUAAAAAAGAAAGUAAUGAAGGCAAAUAGAAGGUAAAUAAAAGGUAAAAGAAAAAAAUGAGGGUAAAAUUAUGCAAAUGGGAGGUAAAUACUAGGAAAAGAAGAUAAGAAAGUAGUUGUAAGGUAUAAAAGAAGGUAACAAAGGUAAAAGAACAAAUUGAGGGUAAAAUCAUGCAAAUAGAAGGUAAAUAUAAGGAAAUGAAGAUAAAAAAGUAAUUGUAAGGUAAAAAAAGAAGGUAACGAAGGCAAAUUGAAGAAUAAAAGGUAAAAGAACAAAUUGAGGGUAAAACCAUGCAAAUAGAAGGUAAAUAUAAGGAAAAGAAGAUUUAAAAAAAAGUAAUUGUAAGGUAAAAAAAAUAAGGUAAUGAAGGCAAUAAAAGGUAAAAGAACAAAUUGAUGGUAAAAUCAUGCAAAUAGAAGGUAAAUAUAAGGAAAAGAAGAUAAAAAAAGAAGUUGUAAGCUAUAAAAGAAGGUAACUAAGGCAAAUAGAUUAGAUUAGAUCAGAUAGUACUUUAUUUAUUCCGUCAGGAAAAUUCAAAUAGAAGGUAAAAGAACAAAUUGGGGGUAAAAUCAUGCAAAUAGAAGGUAAAUAUAAGGAAAAGAAGAUUAAAAAAAAAAGUAAUUGUAAGGUAAAAAAAGAAGGUAAUGAAGGCAAAUAGAAGGUAAAUAAAAGGUAAAAGAAAAAAUUGAGGGUAAAAUCAUGCAAACAGAAGGUAAUAUAAGGAAAAUAAAAUAAAAAAGUAGUUGUAAGGCAUAAAAGAAGGUAACGAAGGUAAAAGAACAAAUUGAGGGUAAAGUUAUGCAAAUAGAAGGUAAAUAUAAGGAAAUGAAGAUAAAAAAGUAAUUGUAAGGUAAAAAAGAAGGUAAUGAAGGAAAAUAGAAGGUAAAUAAAAGGUAAAAGAAAAAAAUGAGGGUAAAAUCAUGCAAAUAGAAGGUAAAUACUAGGAAAAGAAGAUAAAAAAGUAGUUGUAAGGUAUAAAAGAAGGUAACGAAGGUAAAAGAACAAAUUGAGGGUAAAAUCAUGCAAAUAGAAGGUAAAUAUGAGGAAAUGAAGAUAAAAAGGUAAUUGUAAGGUAAAAAAAGAAGGUAACGAAGGCAAAUUGAAGAAUAAAAGGUAAAAGAACGAAUUGAGGGUAAAAUCAUGCAAAUAGAAGGUAAAUAUAAGGAAAAGAAGAUUUAAAAAAAAAGUAAUUGUAAGGUAAAAAAAAGAAGGUAAUGAAGGCAAAUAGAAGGUAAAUAAAAGGUAAAAGAACAAAUUGAGGGUAAAAUCAUGCAAAUAGAAGGUAAAUACUAGGAAAAGAAGAUAAAAAAGUAGUUGUAAGUUAUAAAAGAAGGUAACAAAGGUAAAAGAACAAAUUGAGGGUAAAAUCAUGCAAAUAGAAGGUAAAUAUAAGGAAAUGAAGAUAAAAAAUCAAUUGUAAGGUAAAAAAAAGAAGGUAACGAAGGCAAAUUGAAGAAUAAAAGGUAAAAUAACGAAUUGAGGGUAAAAUCAUGCAAAUAGAAGGUAAAUAUAAGGAAAAGAAGAUUAAAAAAAAGUAAUUGUAAGGUAAAAAAAAUAAGGUAAUGAAGGCAAAUAAAAGGUAAAAGAACAAAUUGAGGGUAAACUCAUGCAAAUAGAAGGUAAAUAUAAGGAAAAGAAGAUUUUAAAAAAAAGUAAUUGUAAGGUAAAAAAAGAAGGUGAUGAAGGCAAAUAGAAGGUAAAUAAAGGGUAAAAGAAUAAAUUGAGGGUAAAAUCAUGGUAAUAGAAGGUAAAUAUAAGGAAAAGAAGAUAAAAGAAAGUAAUUGUAAGGUAAAGCAGGUAAUGAAGGCAAAUAGAAGGUAAAUAAAAGGUAAAAUAAGUUAAGAGAUGGUAAAUAUAAGGGAAAAAAGAUUAAAAAAAGUAAUUGUAAGGUAAAAAAAGAAGGUAACAAAGGUAAAUAAAAGGUAAAAGAACAAAUUUGGGGUAAAAUCAUCCAAAUAGAAGGUAAAUAUAAGGAAAAAUGAUUUUAAAAAAGUAAUUGUAAGGAUAGAAAAAGAAGAUAGUGUAGGCAAAUAGAAGGUAAAUAAAAGUUCAAAGAACAAAUUGAGGGUAAAAUCAUGCAAAUAUAAGGAAAUGAAAAUGAAAAAAAAGUAAUUGUAAGGUAAAAAAAGAAGGAAACAAAGGCAAAUAGAAGGUAAAUAAAAGGUAAAAGAAGUUAAAGAGAAGGUUAAUAUAAGGAAAAGAAGAUUAAAAAAAGUAAUUGUAAGGUAAAAAAAGAAGGUAAUGAAGGCAAAUAGAAGGUAAAUAAAGGGUAAAAGAAUAAAUUGAGGGUAAAAUCAUGGUAAUACAAGGUAAAUAUAAGGAAAAGAAGAUAAAAGAAAGUAAUUGUAAGGUAAAGAAGGUAAUGAAGGCAAAUAGAAGGUAAAUAAAAGGUAAAAGAAGUUGAAGAGAUGGUAAAUAUAAGGGAAAGAAGAUUAAAAAAAGUAAUUGUAAGGUAAAAAAAGAAGGUAACAAAGGCAAAUAGAAGGUAAAUAAAAGGUAAAAGAACAAAUUUUGGGUAAAAUCAUCCAAAUAGAAGGUAAAUAUAAGGAAAAAUGAUUAAAAAAAAAAGUAAUUGUAAGGAGAGAAAAAAGAAGAUAAUGUAGGCAAAUAGAAGGUAAAUAAAAGUUCAAAGAACAAAUUGAGGGUAAAAUCAUGCAAAUAGAAAGUAAAUAUAAGGAAAUGAAGAUGAAAAAAAAAGUAAUUGUAAGGUAAAAAAAGAAGGAAACAAAGGCAAAUAGAAGGUAAAUAAAAGGUAAAAAAAAGUUAAAGAGAAGGUUAAUAUAAGGAAAAGAAGAUUAAAAAAAGUAAUUGUAAAGUAAAAAAAAGAAGGAAACAAAGGCAAAUAAAAGGUAAAAUAACCAAUUGAGGGUAAAAUCAUGCAAAUAGAAGGCAAAUGAAGUUAUGACAGGUAAAUAAAAUGUAAAUUAAGUGUAAAAGAGACUUAGACAAACUUUAUUGAUCCACAAGGGAAAUUAAAUUGUUCCACACAGUAGCUGACUUACUAAGGAUGGAAAGGAUAAUGCGGAUAUAAAGUAGACUAAAAAUGUAGCAAUGUAAAAUAUAACAUAUAUGUCAUAUUUACAUAUUAUUUAUUUAGUGAUAUAUUUUGAUAUAAUAUAUACAAUAUAUACCAAUGACUAUGUACAAUAUUACAGUAUAUGUAACAGCUGCAGCCGAAAAUAGAUCCAGCAGAAAAUAGACAUUAUAGAGGGUCAAUAAAAGGUCAAAUAAAAUGUCAGAUGUUAAUUGAAAUGUAAAUAUAAGGUAAAGGAAGGUAAAUAAUAUAAUAGGUAAAAUAAGGUGACUAAAAGGUAAAAGGCGCAAAAUAAAAGGUAAAUGACGUUAAAUAUAAGGUAAAUUAAAGGGUGAAUAAAAGGUCAAAUGAGGUGAAUAAAAGAUCAAAGAGAAAGUAAAUAAAAGGUAAAAUGAGGGUAAAAGAAGGGAACUUGGAGAUAAGAAAAGUUACACACAAGGUAAAAAAAGAUAAGUGGGUGGUAAACGGUAGAAGAAGGAGUAUAUAAGGUAAUGUGUGGUGAAAGAAGGAAUAUAGAAGGUAAAUAAAUUAAAUUGAUGGUAAAAGAGGUAAAGGUAAAAUAAAGUGAAUUGAGGGUAAAAUAACAUAAAUGAUGACUAGAAGGUAAAAUAAGUUAAAUAGAAGGUAAAUAAAAGGAAAUUAGAUGGUAAAAUAAGUAAAAAAGGGUAAAUAAAAGGUAAAAGAAGGAAUAUGGUCGGUAAAUACAAGGUUUAAAUAAUAAAAUAACAUUAAUCUCGUUAUAUGAACCCUAAUCUCGUUACAUGCAAAUAUGAUAACAAUAAAGUCCAUUCUAUUCUAUUCUAUUCCAAAAGGGUAAACAAAAGGUAAAGUAAGGUAGAUAAAAGGUAAAAGACGACUAGAAAGUAAAUAAAAGGUAAAUUGUGGGUAAAAGUAGGAUAAUAGUAGAUAAAAGAAGUUAGAAGGUAAAAAAGCUACAUAGGUGGUAAAUAAAAGUUAAAUAGGAGAGAAUGGAAGUUAAAUAGAAGGUAAAAAAAGAUAAGUGGGUGGUAUGGGUAAAGGUGAAAUAAAGUGGGUUGAGGGUAAAAGGACAUAAAUGAUGAAUAGAAGGUAAAAUAAGUUAAAUAGAAGGUAAAAAAAAGGAAAGGAGACGGUGAAAUAAGUAAAAAGGGUGAUACAAGUUAAAUUAAGGUAAAAGAAGGAAUAUGGAAGCUAAAUAGAGGGUUAAAAAGGUAAAAAAAAGGUAAAGUAAGGUAGCUAAACGGUAAAAGACAAAAAGAAAGUCAAUAAAAGG